This 403-nucleotide ribosomal RNA is filed under the name bacterium. RNAcentral's name for it is "partial 16S ribosomal RNA". It matches the Rfam family "Bacterial small subunit ribosomal RNA", at positions 355 to 776 of the family's 1533-position model. The record is from RNAcentral.
UGGGGAAUAUUGCACAAUGGGGGAAACCCUGAUGCAGCGACGCCGCGUGAACGAAGAAGGUAUUCGUAUCGUAAAGUUCUGUCCUAUGGGAAGAUAAUGACAGUACCAUAGAAGAAAGCUCCGGCUAAAUACGUGCCAGCAGCCGCGGUAAUACGUAUGGAGCGAGCGUUGACCGGAAUUAUUGGGCGUAAAGGGUACGCAGGCGGUUUAAUAAGUCGAAUGUUAAAGAUCGGGGCUCAACCCCGCAAAGCAUUGGAAACUGAUAAACUUGAGUAGUGGAGAGGAAAGGGGAAUUCCUAGUGUAGUGGUGAAAUACGUAGAUAUUAGGAGGAAUACCAGUAGCGAAGGCGACUUUCUGGACACAAACUGACGCUGAGGUACGAAAGCGUGGGGAGCAAACAGG